Molecule: long non-coding RNA, 612 nt
Organism: Mesoplodon densirostris (Blainville's beaked whale)
Lineage: Eukaryota; Metazoa; Chordata; Mammalia; Artiodactyla; Ziphiidae
Exons: 4
Source: RefSeq, a predicted model, not a curated record
AGUGCCAGUGCCCACUGGAAUGAACUUAUUGCUUCGCUGUUUCGAUCAUCUAACAUGAUGCUACUCAGCCAGUUCUCUUCCACAUAGUUCUGCUGUUAAGUCUUGCUAUUUGCUGCCACACUCUUAACUUCGUGGAGGAAACAGUCUGUCCCUGACAGAGACUUUAUAAAAUUUUAAGACUCUGGAUGAUGGUACUCUCCUCCAAAGAAGAAUUCACCUUCUGGCAGUGAGAUACACUUCAGGCAUAUCACCUUUAUCCAGGUGAGCUCUCAACGGUGCUCUGCGAUCAGGACUUCACUUCUCCGAGUGCGGGUCGCCUUCGCGGGAGAGCUCAGCUACCAACAGCUGGGCAUCCACGGGACAGGAGCAGAGUGAUGAAUUGCCCACUUGAAGAUUCAAGGGGAAUUUUGAGGGCCUGGAGUUUUUCCAGCUUCUUGAGUCAAGAGGAGCAGAAGGAGGCAAGACCUAGACAAACAAGCCUCAUGGGACUAAGAUGACUCCAGAACGUCCUCACUCUGAGGAGGGUCACCUAACAAACCAAAGGAUGCCUAUUAACCAAUGGCUUGAGGUAGGAUCUGCAGGAAAACCUUCUAACCGCACUCACCGGGGCUU